This 427-nucleotide ribosomal RNA is filed under the name uncultured bacterium. RNAcentral's name for it is "partial 16S ribosomal RNA". It matches the Rfam family "Bacterial small subunit ribosomal RNA", at positions 355 to 774 of the family's 1533-position model. The record is from RNAcentral.
UGGGGAAUAUUGCACAAUGGGCGCAAGCCUGAUGCAGCCAUGCCGCGUGUAUGAAGAAGGCCUUCGGGUUGUAAAGUACUUUCAGCGGGGAGGAAGGCGAUAAGGUUAAUAACCUUGUCGAUUGACGUUACCCGCAGAAGAAGCACCGGCUAACUCCGUGCCAGCAGCCGCGGUAAUACGGAGGGUGCAAGCGUUAAUCGGAAUUACUGGGCGGAAAGCGCACGCAGGCGGUCUGUCAAGUCGGAUGUGAAAUCCCCGGGCUCAACCUGGGAACUGCAUUCGAAACUGGCAGGCUAGAGUCUUGUAGAGGGGGGUAGAAUUCCAGGUGUAGCGGUGAAAUGCGUAGAGAUCUGGAGGAAUACCGGUGGCGAAGGCGGCCCCCUGGACAAAGACUGACGCUCAGGUGCGAAAGCGUGGGGAGCAAACA